ACGGGUGAGUAAAGCAUCGGAACGUACCCGGGAGUGGGGGAUAACGUAGCGAAAGUUACGCUAAUACCGCAUACCCUGUGAGCAGGAAAGCGGGGGCUCGCAAGACCUCGCGCUUUCGGAGCGGCCGAUGUCGGAUUAGCUAGUUGGUGGGGUAAAGGCCUACCAAGGCAACGAUCCGUAGCGGGUCUGAGAGGAUGAUCCGCCACACUGGGACUGAGACACGGCCCAGACUCCUACGGGAGGCAGCAGUGGGGAAUUUUGGACAAUGGGCGCAAGCCUGAUCCAGCCAUGCCGCGUGAGUGAAGAAGGCCUUCGGGUUGUAAAGCUCUUUUGUUGGGAAAGAAAAGAUUCGGGCUAAUACCCUGGAUUAAUGACGGUACCCAAAGAAUAAGCACCGGCUAACUACGUGCCAGCAGCCGCGGUAAUACGUAGGGUGCAAGCGUUAAUCGGAAUUACUGGGCGUAAAGCGUGCGCAGGCGGUUGUGUAAGUCAGAGGUGAAAUCCCCGGGCUCAACCUGGGAACUGCCUUUGAGACUGUGCAACUAGAGGAUGGCAGAGGGGGGUAGAAUUCCACGUGUAGCAGUGAAAUGCGUAGAGAUGUGGAGGAAUACCGAUGGCGAAGGCAGCCCCCUGGGCUAUAACUGACGCUC
RNAcentral lists this ribosomal RNA (650 nucleotides) under uncultured bacterium. Its description in RNAcentral is "bacterial SSU rRNA". It matches the Rfam family "Bacterial small subunit ribosomal RNA", at positions 102 to 748 of the family's 1533-position model. The record is from RNAcentral.